Molecule: ribosomal RNA, 429 nt
Filed under: Bacillota bacterium
Lineage: Bacteria; Bacillati; Bacillota
Description: Firmicutes bacterium partial 16S ribosomal RNA
Rfam family: Bacterial small subunit ribosomal RNA
Source: RNAcentral
UAGGGAAUCUUCGGCAAUGGACGGAAGUCUGACCGAGCAACGCCGCGUGAGUGAAGAAGGUUUUCGGAUCGUAAAGCUCUGUUGUUAGAGAAGAACGUUGGUAGGAUUGGAAAAUCAACCAAGUGACGGUAACUAACCAGAAAGGGACGGCUAACUACGUGCCAGCAGCCGCGGUAAUACGUAGGUCCCGAGCGUUGUCCGGAUUUAUUGGGCGUAAAGCGAGCGCAGGCGGUUCUUUAAGUCUGAAGUUAAAGGCAGUGGCUUAACCAUUGUACGCUUUGGAAACUGGAGGACUUGAGUGCAGAAGGGGAGAGUGGAAUUCCAUGUGUAGCGGUGAAAUGCGUAGAUAUAUGGAGGAACACCGGUGGCGAAAGCGGCUCUCUGGUCUGUAACUGACGCUGAGGCUCGAAAGCGUGGGGAGCAAACAGG